This 2298-nucleotide ribosomal RNA is filed under the name human gut metagenome. RNAcentral describes it as "bacterial LSU rRNA". It matches the Rfam family "Bacterial large subunit ribosomal RNA", at positions 1 to 2289 of the family's 2925-position model. The record is from RNAcentral.
UAAAGAUUUUAAGGGCGUACGGUGGAUGCCUUGGCGAUAUCAGCCGAAGAAGGACGCGGUAAGCUGCGAUAAGCUACGGAGAGGUGCAAGCAACCUGUGACCCGUAGAUUUCCGAAUGGGGGAACCCGGCAGUGGUUAUGCACUGUCACCCAUAGCUUAGACUAUGAGGAGGGCACCUGGGGAACUGAAACAUCUAAUUACCCAGAGGAACAGUAAUCAAACGAGAUUUUCUUAGUAGCGGCGAGCGAACGGGAAAGAGGCCAAACCGGAGCGGGCAACCGCACCGGGGUUGAGGACAGUCAUCAAGUGUAAAUGAGGUAGAAGAAUCGAGCUGGAAAGCUCAGCCGCAGAAGGUGAAAGCCCUGUAAUCGAAACCUUGCAUACAUGGGACUGUAUCCAGAGUACCACGAGACACGUGAAACCUUGUGGGAAGCAGGGGGGACCACCCUCCAAGCCAAAAUACUGAUAUCGACCGAUAGCGCAUAGUACCGUGAGGGAAAGGUGAAAAGAACCCCUGGCGGGGAGUGAAAGAGAACCUGAAACCGUAUGUCUACAAACAGUCGAAGUCUGUAUAUAUAUCAGGACGACGGCGUGCCUAUUGAAGAAUGAACCGACGAGUUACUGUUGCUAGCGAGGUUAAGUGGAAAACAUGGAGCCGCAGCGAAAGCGAGUCUGAACAGGGCGUUCAGUUAGUAAUAGUAGACCCGAAACCGUAGUGAUCUAUCCAUGGCCAGGUUGAAGCACAGGUAAAAUUGUGUGGAGGACCGAACUCGUGAGCGUUGAAAAGCUUUGGGAUGAGUUGUGGAUAGGGGUGAAAUGCCAAUCGAACACGGAGAUAGCUGGUUCUCCCCGAAAUAGCUUUAGGGCUAGCCUCGAGGUAGAGAGUAUAGGCGGUAGAGCACUGAUCGGGCUAGGGGCCAUACCGGUUACCGAACCUAGUCAAACUACGAAUGGCUAUACUUAUACUCGGGAGUCAGACAGUGAAUGAUAAGGUCCAUUGUCAAGAGGGAAACAGCCCAGAACACCGACUAAGGUCCCCAAUGUUACACUAAGUGGCGAAGGAUGUGGAAUUUCCAAAACAACCAGGAUGUUGGCUUAGAAGCAGCCACCAUUUAAAGAGUGCGUAAUAGCUCACUGGUCGAGAGACUCUGCGCCGAAAAUGUCCGGGGCUAAAGUGUAAAACCGAAGUCGUGUCAUAUGCAGCAAUGUAUAUGGGUAGGGGAGCGUUCUCAUCGGGCUGAAGCAGUACCGUAAGGAGUUGUGGACUGAUGAGAAGUGAGAAUGUCGGUAUGAGUAGCGAAAAGAAUGGUGAGAAUCCAUUCCACCGAAAGCCUAAGGGUUCCUGAGCAACGAUCGUCGUCUCAGGGUAAGUCGGGACCUAAGCCGAGGCGGAAAAGCGUAGGCGAUGGACAACAGGUUGAAAUUCCUGUACCGGUGUGAAUCGUUUGAUCGAUGGAGUGACACAGUAAGGUAGGUCAGCACGCGAUUGGAAGUGCGUGUUUAAGCAUGUAGGUUGAGCUAUAGGCAAAUCCGUAGCUCUAAAAGCUGAGAUGUGAUGACGAGUGACUAGCAAUAGUCGCGAAGUGAUUGAUCCUACACUGUCGAGAAAAGCUUCUAGGUAGAGACACAUCGCCCGUACCGAAAACCGACACAGGUAGGCGGGGAGAGAAUCCUAAGGUGCGCGGGAAAACCCUCGUUAAGGAACUCGGCAAAAUGCCUCCGUAACUUCGGGAAAAGGAGGACUCAUGUAGUGUGAAGUGCAGCAACGCAUGGAGCAUGAAUGAGUGGCACAAGAGAGGCGCAAGCGACUGUUUACCACAAACACAGGUGCCUGCUAAAGCGAAAGCUGAUGUAUAGGUGCUGACACCUGCCCGGUGCUGGAAGGUUAAGAGGAGGGGUUAGACUUUGGUCGAAGCUCUGAAUUGAAGCCCCAGUAAACGGCGGCCGUAACUAUAACGGUCCUAAGGUAGCGAAAUUCCUUGUCGGGUAAGUUCCGACCCGCACGAAAGGUGUAACGACUUGCGCACUGUCUCAACGAGGGACCCGGUGAAAUUGAAGUACCUGUGAAGAUGCAGGUUACCCGCGACUGGACAGAAAGACCCCAUGGAGCUUUACUGCAACCUAAGAUUGAACUUAGUUAAUGAAUGUACAGGAUAGGUGGGAGACGUAGAACCUAGGACGCCAGUUUUAGGGGAGUCGCUGUUGGGAUACCACCCUUUCAUUAAUUGAUUUCUAACGGGCCGAGUAACGACCGGCCGGACAGUCUUAGGCGGGCAGUUUGACUGGGGCGGUCGCCUC